Long non-coding RNA from Eucalyptus grandis, 1117 nucleotides. RefSeq lists it as uncharacterized. Lineage: Eukaryota; Viridiplantae; Streptophyta; Magnoliopsida; Myrtales; Myrtaceae. The record is from RefSeq and is a predicted model, not a curated record. The transcript has 3 exons.
GCUUCUUCGACCAUUUCCUUCGACGAAGUGCAGAACAUCACGAGAGCAUGACCAUGUCGCCAGCUCGAGGAGAUGCACGAAGAUGAGGGCCAUCGCAUACGGGUUUUCCUCUACGCGAGCGUGAUGAUUGAUGGAUGUGAGGAAAAGGUGGUACCGGUGUGAGAAUUUGUCUCGUGAAAAAGCUUUGAGCAAAGAAAGCUCUGGUAGAAAUUGGAGGAGAGCAGCAGCUAUUCGAGGAAACUGAUGAGUACGUUUCAUGAUGAACUGAGAGGUGGGGGGGAAGAGUUUUCAGGCAUUCGAUUGCUUUCAAUGUUGCCUGCACAAUCAGAUUGUAGCCAACGGCAUGGGUUCCCGUUUGUUUCAGAUUUAGCGCUCUUAAUGGCCGAGUCUGAAUUCAACUGCACAGUUUCACCAUUUUCGGUUGGAUUGAUGGCAAGCUCUCUGGAAGAAGCCAUGGCCUGAGCAGAAAUUUGAACACCCAUCGACAAAACCUUGGACGCAGCUCUGUCGAAUGGGAAGUCCGUGGAUGAAUUGAGAUCUGGAUUGCUUGAAGAGUUGAACGACCAUGGGCGAUGGAUCCAGCAGAGGUCAAUCGUGAGGACGGACCGCCGAACAUUGGAAGUCAAGGUUCAAUUUCCGCAUUUGACACCCCUUUUUGGGUGGUGCUCCCAUUUUGUCGAGCUGGAACUGGCGACGGUUAAAAGCUCACACCUUCAUUCUGGUUCACAGGCGACCGCUAGAAACUCACUCUCCUUCAUUCUGGUUCACGGCUUCGUUUCUCAAGAAUCCCUUAUCCGAUGACGAUGUCGGACAGAGACUCCUCUAGAACACGAUUUCACUGGCUUUUAUUUGGGGAAAUCACAAGCCAUCGGCUUGUUGUUAGAUACUUCGUUUCCCUCCGAAGCGAAAAAAGUGACUACAUCAAAUUUCAUCUGUCGAUUAUACAUCAGCGUUUGUUCAACGUGGGAGGGUUAUGAGCAAAACCCUCUGAAACCCUCGUAUUUUGUAUCAGCAUCAGCCUCAUAUUUCAUAUUUGACACGCACAAAAAACCCUGUUUCGUUCCGAGACGGGACCAAAGCAGAGAGAGCAAGAGAGGAGGGAACGUCGGCUAUAUAG